This 58-nucleotide transfer RNA is filed under the name Megadenia pygmaea. RNAcentral's name for it is "partial transfer RNA-Gln". It matches the Rfam family "tRNA", at positions 14 to 69 of the family's 71-position model. From Rfam's summary of the family: Transfer RNA (tRNA) molecules are approximately 80 nucleotides in length. Their secondary structure includes four short double-helical elements and three loops (D, anti-codon, and T loops). Further hydrogen bonds mediate the characteristic L-shaped molecular structure. tRNAs have two regions of fundamental functional importance: the anti-codon, which is responsible for specific mRNA codon recognition, and the 3' end, to which the tRNAs corresponding amino acid is attached (by aminoacyl-tRNA synthetases). tRNAs cope with the degeneracy of the genetic code in two manners: having more than one tRNA (with a specific anti-codon) for a particular amino acid; and 'wobble' base-pairing, i.e. permitting non-standard base-pairing at the 3rd anti-codon position. Lineage: Eukaryota; Viridiplantae; Streptophyta; Magnoliopsida; Brassicales; Brassicaceae. The record is from RNAcentral.
AGUGGUAAGGCAACGGGUUUUGGUCCCGCUAUUCGGAGGUUCGAAUCCUUCCGUCCCA